Molecule: long non-coding RNA, 204 nt
Filed under: Pelobates cultripes (western spadefoot toad)
Lineage: Eukaryota; Metazoa; Chordata; Amphibia; Anura; Pelobatidae
Source: RNAcentral
GUAGAAUACCCGGGUAUUUGUUGUAGAGUAUAGGUUGUAGAGUCCAGCUUUCCAAGUAUUUGGAUUGAAUUGGUUGCAGAUAUUGAAUCAGCAUCAUCUGUUAUCACCGUGGUGAUGGUGUUGGUAUUUGUCUUUGUCUUUGCUUUUUAUUUUGUUUUUUCCAUGAAACAUUUUUACACCGUUUAUGAUGUGUAUAGAUUGGAU